RNAcentral lists this ribosomal RNA (252 nucleotides) under uncultured bacterium. RNAcentral's name for it is "partial 16S ribosomal RNA". It matches the Rfam family "Bacterial small subunit ribosomal RNA", at positions 524 to 776 of the family's 1533-position model. The record is from RNAcentral.
UACGGAGGAUGCGAGCGUUAUCCGGAUUUAUUGGGUUUAAAGGGUGCGUAGGCGGAUCGUUAAGUCAGUGGUCAAAUUGAGGGGCUCAACCCCUUCCCGCCAUUGAAACUGGCGAUCUUGAGUGGAAGAGAAGUAUGCGGAAUGCGUGGUGUAGCGGUGAAAUGCAUAGAUAUCACGCAGAACCCCGAUUGCGAAGGCAGCAUGCCGGCUUCCUACUGAUGCUGAAGCACGAAAGCGUGGGGAUCGAACAGG